This 325-nucleotide ribosomal RNA is filed under the name uncultured eukaryote. RNAcentral's name for it is "partial 18S ribosomal RNA". It matches the Rfam family "Eukaryotic small subunit ribosomal RNA", at positions 1470 to 1796 of the family's 1831-position model. The record is from RNAcentral.
CCCUUAGAUGUUCUGGGCCGCACGCGCGCUACACUGAUGCAUUCAACGAGCCUAUCCUUGACCGACAGGUCCGGGUAAUCUUUGAAUCUGCAUCGUGACGGGGAUAGAUUAUUGCAAUUAUUAAUCUUCAACGAGGAAUGCCUAGUAGGCGCAAGUCAUCGGCUUGCGUCGAUUACGUCCCUGCCCUUUGUACACACCGCCCGUCGCUCCUACCGAUUGGGUGUGCUGGUGAAACGUUCGGAUCGGCCGUUUGUCGCGGUUUCCGCGUCAUGUGGCUGAGAAGUUCAUUAAACCCUCCCACCUAGAGGAAGGAGAAGUCGUAACA